UCUCGUCUACGUGCAUCAUCGUUCUCGUUGGUAAUGGCUUCGUGGAAGAAAACCAUAAUUUCUCCUAUUAGAAAGGCUUGCACCAUCUUCCACCAACACCCGAGAGACCUCAAGAAGUCCCCCUCCGACUCUGACUUAGAACAAGACAAGCGAGUGAGCGUGAGAGACCUACAAGGAGAGGUGUUGGCUUGUGGGUAUGAAGACGUGCAAGUUAUGUGGUCUAUUUUAGACAAGACCAACUCUACUACUACGGUCACCAACGCCACCUCCACCGUCUAUAAUGUGUCUUCUUAACCAUCGUCGUGGUCACCGUUGUCUCGGCCGUGGCCAAAAGAUUGUAGAAAACUCUUUUUCUCUAUUUCUCGGUGAGUUAUGAUUUCGUCAUGUUUAUAGGGAAUGAAUAAAUCCCCAUGAUUUGAAGAAGCUCUUAA
This is a long non-coding RNA of Cucurbita maxima (winter squash), 431 nucleotides long. RefSeq lists it as uncharacterized. The transcript has 2 exons. Lineage: Eukaryota; Viridiplantae; Streptophyta; Magnoliopsida; Cucurbitales; Cucurbitaceae. The record is from RefSeq and is a predicted model, not a curated record.